CGGGUGCACUGAUCCGGCCGGGCCUUUCCCUCUGCGGAACCCCAUGGCCUUCACUGGCUGUGCGGGGGAAACAGGACUUUUACUGUGAAAAAAUUAGAGUGCUCCAGGCAGGCCUAUGCUCGAAUACAUUAGCAUGGAAUAAUAGAAUAGGACGCGUGGUUCUAUUUUGUUGGUUUCUAGGACCGCCGUAAUGAUUAAUAGGGACAGUCGGGGGCAUCAGUAUUCAAUUGUCAGAGGUGAAAUUCUUGGAUCUAUUGAAGACUAACUACUGCGAAAGCAUUUGCCAAGGAUGUUUUCAUUGAUAAGGAACGAAAGUUAGGGGAUCGAAGACGAUCAGAUACCGUCGUAGUCUUAACUAUAAACUAUGCCGACUAGGGAUCGGACGAUGUUAUUUCUUGACGCGUUCGGCACCUUUCGAGAAAUCAAAGUGCUUGGGCUCCAGGGGGAGUAUGGUCGCAAGGCUGAAACUUAAAGAAAUUGACGGAAGGGCACCACCAGGGGUGGAACCUGCGGCUUAAUUUGACUCAACACGGGGAAACUCACCAGGUCCAGACACAGUGAGGAUUGACAGAUUGAGAGCUCUUUCUUGAUUCUGUGGGUGGUGGUGCAUGGCCGUUCUUAGUUGGUGGAGUGAUUUGUCUGCUUAAUUGCGAUAACGAACGAGACCUUAACCUGCUAAAUAGCCCGUACUGCUCUGGCAGUUCGCCGGCUUCUUAGAGGGACUAUCGG
Molecule: ribosomal RNA, 729 nt
Filed under: uncultured eukaryote
Lineage: Eukaryota
Description: SSU rRNA
Rfam family: Eukaryotic small subunit ribosomal RNA
Source: RNAcentral